UCUGGAAGAUGGGUAAUCGCUACGUUCAGUUAACAUGAAUGUAGAGGAAAGUCCAGGCAGCAGAAGGCAAGGGUGUUCCGGCUAAUACCGGGAGCGGGUAAUCGCCAGUUAGAGCAACAGAGACGAGUCUUGCGUAAGCCUAAAGCUUAUGUGAGGGUGAAACGGGCAAUCCUCCCCGCUGCAACCUGCGAAUGGAGCAUUUGAGGUAGCCUUCCCGACGCUCCGAGGUCAGGGCUUAGAUAGAUGAUUACUGAAAUACAGAACCUGGCUUAUAGUCUUCCAGAGCAC
Molecule: non-coding RNA, 288 nt
Organism: Candidatus Woesebacteria bacterium
Lineage: Bacteria; Candidatus Woeseibacteriota
Source: Rfam